GUGUGAGUUCAUAGAACCAAGGGUGAGUGAUAAUUUCUUCUGACAUAGUACGUGAGCUGAGAGGGGUUAGUACAAGGAGCGGUGGUGGAGGUGAUAUCUCAGCCGGGGCUGGUGCCUAUAACCCAACAGUAAUUGGUCAAAAAGUAACUACAUAACUCUCACUAAAGCUUAUCACUAGCUUCACACAACACUACCAUAUGCAAACUUGUAAACAGGUACUGCUCAAACAAUACUGCUCACAAACUUGUAAACAGGUACUGAUCAAACCAUAUGCAAGUGCAAGUCUCUCGCUGUGGUUCCAAAGACUGCUCCUUUUGUUCUUCAUCAGUAUCAUGCAAUGCAAAGCUUGUGUCAGGGACAUAACCAACUGCUUUAAUCUUCUUCUUGAGCUCCUUCAGUUUGUGGGUGAGACUGGUCUCCUAUCCCAAUUGAACUCGCUUUGUUUUUCUACUUGACCCAACUGCAAGCGGGCUUCUUCUUUACGUUGUUUAGGUCCAUUUCCCCCCUUACAUUCUGCACAUCCUCCCAUCUCCCUGUAGUUGCGCAGACAUUUGAAUAGAGAACAUAAGAUGAGUCAUAAUAUAGGGAAGAUUAAUGGGUGUGAGUUCAUAGAACCAAUUAUUAUUAUGGGUGAGUGAUGAUUUCUUGGCCCUUGAUUUCAAUUCCUGCUACAUGUAAUGAUGCUCUCUGUCUUUUUAGUCAUGGUACUGAUUAUUUAGUGAUCAAGUCGAAAUGUUCCUCAUUCAUAUGCAUAUAUAUAUAGUUGUUUUUAAGGAUAACUGCCUGGAUAUAUGGCAUAGUUGCUUUUUGGUCCUAAGUUGUGUUUGAUGUUGAUCGAUGCGAUCAAUUGAAAUGUCUGCUUUUGGUUGUUUUGUAUCUUAAAAUGGUUCGGAAUGAGCAUUCCGACAGACUUUCGUUUCAUUUUUGCAUUGGAAUCUCGAUGACUUUCCCAUAUCUUAGCCGGGGCUGGUGGUUUGGAUUCACAUUACUACCGGAAUCUGGAACUUGGAAUAUUAUUUCAAUGCAUAUAUAUUUGUUAAUUGAAGUCUUGAUUUGGGUGUUGGAGAAAUCUUUUAAACUAACUGAUUGUUGGCUGUUUAACAUAUUCAUCCUUGCACAUUCAAAUUUUAUACAUAUGUCAAGAAAAUUAUAUUAUCCUUAAUUAUUGGAAAGUCAAUUUAAC
This 1183-nucleotide long non-coding RNA is filed under the name Panax ginseng (ginseng). Its description in RNAcentral is "long non-coding RNA (PGIN_LNC016679)". The record is from RNAcentral. Lineage: Eukaryota; Viridiplantae; Streptophyta; Magnoliopsida; Apiales; Araliaceae.